CCUGUGAUAUCCUCAGCUUGGAAUGGUUCUGGAUCGUCCUGCACGUACUCUCCUGACUCCACGUAAUCGGUCUCCGCUCCCGGUGCUACCCAACACAAGAAUGACAGCCAAUGAACAGCAGCACCACAAAAUGCAACAAUCACAUGAUGCAUGAGAUGAAAGUUGAGCAUGCACCACUAUUUCUAACACUAGCACAAGCAAGAUAAACUACAACGAGUUCCUGGACAGAACUUUGCUCUAAACUAUUUGGACAUGCAUGGAAAUGAUAUGGACAGAUGCAUCUCGUAAAAACGGUGCAAAACCAUAUAAAGAACUUUGCAAACGGAGCUACGGAUCAACGGGAACCAACGAAACACGAUAUGAAGCCCUACGUGAAAGAUUCAUCACCACACACACAAUUGGCGCAAAUCUGGUGUUCCCAGGUUGCCAAGACAUGUAUUAACCCAACAUGAAUGAAAUGGAGCAAGGUAGAACACCCCAACAACAAUUAAACACAAACUUUGAACAAAAUGUCAAAACUACGCAAUCUGCCAAUUUCUGCAUCUUAGCUGUUUGAGAGCAACAUGCAACAUAGCUACAGGUCUUCAAACAUGACAAAUAAUAUAUGUGGAUGUUGCCAACCAAGAACACUACCAUCUCCAGCAAGAAUCACAGCAAAAGGAAUUAAACUCUAGAAGAUACAAGGCCACAAACUUUCCCAAAACCAUCAGUUCUCAGGGACUUAGUGAAAAUUUCUGCACCUGGGUUUCUGUUUCUGUUCUGAAGCCUUUUGACAGCAAUCAAAACACAAGCUACUGGACUCCAAAUGACUUGAAAAUUGACAGGAAGCUGCACAAACAUACCAGGUUC
This 849-nucleotide long non-coding RNA is filed under the name Hordeum vulgare. RNAcentral describes it as "long non-coding RNA (HVUL_LNC003573)". The record is from RNAcentral. Lineage: Eukaryota; Viridiplantae; Streptophyta; Magnoliopsida; Poales; Poaceae.